GAUGAACGCUGGCGGCGUGCCUAAUACAUGCAAGUCGAGCGAACGGACGAGAAGCUUGCUUCUCUGAUGUUAGCGGCGGACGGGUGAGUAACACGUGGAUAACCUACCUAUAAGACUGGGAUAACUUCGGGAAACCGUAGCUAAUACCGGAUAAUAUUUUGAACCGCAUGGUUCAAAAGUGAAAGACGGUCUUGCUGUCACUUAUAGAUGGAUCCGCGCUGCAUUAGCUAGUUGGUAAGGUGACGGCUUACCAAGGCAACGAUGCAUAGCCGACCUGAGAGGGUGAUCGGCCACACUGGAACUGAGACACGGUCCAGACUCCUACGGGAGGCAGCAGUAGGGAAUCUUCCGCAAUGGGCGAAAGCCUGACGGAGCAACGCCGCGUGAGUGAUGAAGGUCUUCGGAUCGUAAAACUCUGUUAUUAGGGAAGAACAUAUGUGUAAGUAACUGUGCACAUCUUGACGGUACCUAAUCAGAAAGCCACGGCUAACUACGUG
This 497-nucleotide ribosomal RNA is filed under the name uncultured bacterium. RNAcentral describes it as "partial 16S ribosomal RNA". It matches the Rfam family "Bacterial small subunit ribosomal RNA", at positions 28 to 507 of the family's 1533-position model. The record is from RNAcentral.